Molecule: long non-coding RNA, 417 nt
Organism: Rhopalosiphum padi (bird cherry-oat aphid)
Lineage: Eukaryota; Metazoa; Arthropoda; Insecta; Hemiptera; Aphididae
Exons: 2
Source: RefSeq, a predicted model, not a curated record
AACCAUUGGCACUACAGGUCCAGAAGCCAUAUACUUGACAAGGCCAGGGAAAAAUGGUCUGCUUGAUAAAUCAGCAUAGUGUUUUGAUAACAAUUCUUCAGAUGCCUGAAAUAAAUAAUAAGUAAUUUGAUUUAAAACGAGAAAAUAUACAAAAUUAAUGUUUGUUCUUAACACAAAAAAAGUCAAGCAAUUCAAAAGUUAUUUUUAGCUACCUCAGACUACUAUUAUUAAUUAAAUUUUUUAUAUUCUUUAUAAAAACUAAAAGUAUAAUGUAUUGCCAAAAAACUAAAUGCUUAUGUAAAAUAAUUUAAAAAAAAUAUUAGUUUUAUGUUAUAAAUUUAAAAUUUUACAUACAUACUAUUUACUAUUAUAAUAUUUUUAUUCCCGAGUUUGAACUUAAUAAAACUAUUACUAAAA